This 71-nucleotide transfer RNA is filed under the name Pseudovates peruviana. RNAcentral's name for it is "tRNA-Ser". Lineage: Eukaryota; Metazoa; Arthropoda; Insecta; Mantodea; Mantidae. The record is from RNAcentral.
AGUUAUAAACUUAAUGAAAUAAGCUUAUGUUUUGAAGUCAUAAUGAAAGGGUUAAAAUCCCUUAUUAACUU